RNAcentral lists this ribosomal RNA (274 nucleotides) under uncultured bacterium. Its description in RNAcentral is "partial 16S ribosomal RNA". It matches the Rfam family "Bacterial small subunit ribosomal RNA", at positions 523 to 796 of the family's 1533-position model. The record is from RNAcentral.
AUACGAAGGGGGCUAGCGUUGUUCGGAAUCACUGGGCGUAAAGCGCGCGUAGGUGGAUCAAUCAGUUGAGGGUGAAAUCCCGGGGCUCAACCUCGGAACUGCCUUCAAUACUGUUGAUCUUGAGUCCGAGAGAGGUGAGUGGAAUUCCUAGUGUAGAGGUGAAAUUCGUAGAUAUUAGGAAGAACACCAGUGGCGAAGGCGGCUCACUGGCUCGGUACUGACGCUGAGGUGCGAAAGCGUGGGGAGCAAACAGGAUUAGAAACCCUAGUAGUCC